GGGAGUGACAGGCUUCGAUGGCAAGAAAACGGAUUAUUGCAAGUAAAGUUUGCAGUUUUCUUUUCAAAAAUACUGCAAGGAAAUAUUUGAAAACGUAUUUCAAAAGGCUAAGAGAGCUUUAGCAAACGCUUUUGCUCCUCAGAGCCUUGCAACCGUUGCCGCCUAAUACGCGUCAACCAUCGAUUUAAUUGAUGCCUAAUAGAUUAAACUCGGUGUCGUUUUUUAGGCCGAAUCUUAAAAGCAGUCUCGUUUAAGAGGGCAGGUUUUUUAGAGACUAGAAGGGAGUAUUUUAUUUUUGUUCAAUUUUUAGAAAUAUUCUCUUAGAAUUUAAAUUGAACUAAACUUGUAGAUUAUUUUCCUUUUUUCCUUGUCAGACGCCGGUUCGACUCCGGCCACUUCCACCA
Molecule: transfer-messenger RNA, 404 nt
Filed under: Candidatus Moraniibacteriota bacterium
Lineage: Bacteria; Candidatus Moraniibacteriota
Also listed under: 1 other name
Rfam family: transfer-messenger RNA
About the family: Bacterial tmRNA, also known as 10Sa RNA or SsrA, is named for its dual tRNA and mRNA-like properties.
Source: RNAcentral